UUAAUAAAAGCCAAAACAGAGGCAUAUCACUGUUAAUGAUAUAAUUGAAUUAUUAUUCUUAUUAAG
RNAcentral lists this transfer RNA (66 nucleotides) under Chionoecetes bairdi. RNAcentral describes it as "tRNA-Asn". RNAcentral also lists the same sequence under 3 other names. The record is from RNAcentral. Lineage: Eukaryota; Metazoa; Arthropoda; Malacostraca; Decapoda; Majidae.